AUGGAGACAGACCCACUCCUGCUAUGGGUGCUGCUGCUCUGGGUUCCAGGCUCCACUGGUGACAUUGUGCUGACCCAAUCUCCAGCUUCUUUGGCUGUGUCUCUAGGACAGAGGGCCACCAUAUCCUGCCAAGCCAGCGAAAGUGUCAGUUUUGCUGGUACAAGUUUAAUGCACUGGUACCAACAGAAACCAGGACAGCCACCCAAACUCCUCAUCUAUCGUGCAUCCAACCUAGAAUCUGGAGUCCCUGCCAGGUUCAGUGGCAGUGGGUCUGAGUCAGACUUCACUCUCACCAUCGAUCCUGUGGAGGAAGAUGAUGCUGCAAUGUAUUACUGUAUGCAAAGUAUGGAAGAUCCUCC
This is a non-coding RNA of Mus musculus (house mouse), 359 nucleotides long. NCBI's taxonomy places the organism in Eukaryota, Metazoa, Chordata, Mammalia, Rodentia, Muridae. The record is from the annotation of a RefSeq genome assembly.